This 406-nucleotide ribosomal RNA is filed under the name Verrucomicrobiota bacterium. Its description in RNAcentral is "Verrucomicrobia bacterium partial 16S ribosomal RNA". It matches the Rfam family "Bacterial small subunit ribosomal RNA", at positions 355 to 776 of the family's 1533-position model. The record is from RNAcentral. Lineage: Bacteria; Pseudomonadati; Verrucomicrobiota.
UGGGGAAUAUUGGGCAAUGGGCGAAAGCCUGACCCAGCAACGCCGCGUGAGUGAUGAAGGCCUUCGGGUUGUAAAACUCUUUGGACAGGGACGAAGAAAGUGACGGUACCUGUAGAACAAGCCACGGCUAACUACGUGCCAGCAGCCGCGGUAAUACGUAGGUGGCGAGCGUUAUCCGGAUUUACUGGGCGUAAAGGGUGCGUAGGUGGUCUUUCAAGUCGGUGGUUAAAGGCUACGGCUCAACCGUAGUUAGCCUCCGAAACUGGAAGACUUGAGUGCAGGAGAGGAAAGUGGAAUUCCCAGUGUAGCGGUGAAAUGCGUAGAUAUUGGGAGGAACACCAGUAGCGAAGGCGGCUUUCUGGACUGCAACUGACACUGGGGCACGAAAGCGUGGGUAGCAAACAGG